This 92-nucleotide transfer RNA is filed under the name Streptomyces brasiliensis. RNAcentral describes it as "tRNA-Gly". The record is from RNAcentral. Lineage: Bacteria; Bacillati; Actinomycetota; Actinomycetes; Kitasatosporales; Streptomycetaceae.
CGGCUCCUCGACCGGCUCUCGGUGCACGGCUUCCCGCGCCGCGAGUACCUCGCCGACGACGUGGCCGCGCGGAUCGCCUCCACCGAGGCCGC